AAGAAACUUCCCUGAAAUGGAAUCAUGUAGGUGGAUGAGGGGCUGAAGCUUCCGGCGAUGAGGAAUGGUGGUUGGGCGGUUCGCUGGUGGUCGGGGCAGGGGUGGACGGACGGAGCAGCGGCGGAAUGGAGGGGGUGGCGUUGGGGGAAACCAAAUUGAGGGAAUUUUGACUUUAGUCAAAAACCCUAGUUCUAGAAUUUGCACCUUGGCCCCCAACUUUUCAGAAACUGGAGGGCAACCCCCAAACCUGCGAAAUUGACCAAAACACACCCCAAGUUUUUUUUUUUUUUUU
Molecule: long non-coding RNA, 292 nt
Filed under: Salvia miltiorrhiza (redroot sage)
Lineage: Eukaryota; Viridiplantae; Streptophyta; Magnoliopsida; Lamiales; Lamiaceae
Description: long non-coding RNA (SMIL_LNC002904)
Source: RNAcentral